Molecule: ribosomal RNA, 497 nt
Filed under: uncultured bacterium
Lineage: Bacteria
Description: partial 16S ribosomal RNA
Rfam family: Bacterial small subunit ribosomal RNA
Source: RNAcentral
GAUGAACGCUGGCGGCGUGCCUAAUACAUGCAAGUCGAGCGAACGGACGAGAAGCUUGCUUUUCUGAUGUUAGCGGCGGACGGGUGAGUAACACGUGGAUAACCUACCUAUAAGACUGGGAUAACUUCGGGAAACCGGAGCUAAUACCGGAUAAUAUUUUGAACCGCAUGGUUCAAAAGUGAAAGACGGUCUUGCUGUCACUUAUAGAUGGAUCCGCGCUGCAUUAGCUAGUUGGUAAGGUAACGGCUUACCAAGGCAACGAUGCAUAGCCAACCUGAGAGGGUGAUCGGCCACACCGGAACUGAGACACGGUCCAGACUCCUACGGGAGGCAGCAGUAGGGAAUCUUCCGCAAUGGGCGAAAGCCUGACGGAGCAACGCCGCGUGAGUGAUGAAGGUCUUCGGAUCGUAAAACUCUGUUAUUAGGGAAGAACAUAUGUGUAAGUAACUGUGCACAUCUUGACGGUACCUAAUCAGAAAGCCACGGCUAACUACGUG